CCUAACGUGGAUUAGAUACCCGAGUAGUCCACGCCCUAAACGAUGAGAACUAGCCGUUGGGGACGUUCAAGUUCUUGGUGGCGCAGCUAACGCGAUAAGUUCUCCGCCUGGGGAGUACGGCCGCAAGGCUAAAACUCAAAGGAAUUGACGGGGGCCCGCACAAGCGGUGGAGCAUGUGGUUUAAUUCGAUGCAACGCGAAGAACCUUACCUGCCCUUGACAUCCUCGGAAUCCCCCGGAGACGGGGGAGUG
RNAcentral lists this ribosomal RNA (251 nucleotides) under uncultured Chromatiales bacterium. RNAcentral's name for it is "partial 16S ribosomal RNA". It matches the Rfam family "Bacterial small subunit ribosomal RNA", at positions 768 to 1016 of the family's 1533-position model. The record is from RNAcentral. Lineage: Bacteria; Pseudomonadati; Pseudomonadota; Gammaproteobacteria; Chromatiales.